Xyrichtys novacula (pearly razorfish) is the source of this 776-nucleotide non-coding RNA. Lineage: Eukaryota; Metazoa; Chordata; Actinopteri; Labriformes; Labridae. The record is from the annotation of a GenBank genome assembly.
AAAAAAAACAACAAAUGUUUUUUUUCCUUGUAAAUAUGGCGGUGAAGUUAGUUUUAGGUUGGAUAUAUUUUCCUGUAAAUACGGCGGUGAAGUUAGUUUCAGGUUGGAUAUAUUUUCCUGUAAAUACGGCGGUGAAGUUAGUUUCAGGUUGGAUAUAUUUUCCUGUAAAUACGGCGGUGAAGUUAGUUUCAGGUUGGAUAUAUUCUCCUGUAAAUAUGGCGGUGAAGUUAGUUUCAGGUUGGAUAUAUUUUCCUGUUAAUACGGCGGUGAAGUUAGUUUCAGGUUGGAUAUAUUUUCCUGUAAAUACGGCGGUGAAGUUAGUUUCAGGUUGGAUAUAUUUUCCUGUAAAUAUGGCGGUGAAGUUAGUUUCAGGUUGGAUAUAUUUUCCUGUUAAUACGGCGGUGAAGUUAGUUUCAGGUUGGAUAUAUUUUCCUGUAAAUACGGCGGUGAAGUUAGUUUCAGGUUGGAUAUAUUUUCCUGUAAAUACGGCGGUGAAGUUAGUUUCAGGUUGGAUAUCUGACGGACAUUCUCUGAGGAUCUACCGGUGUCUUCUCACUCUCCAUAACCGGGAAUAACAACAGCAGCGCGGUUAAAUCUACUCGACACCCUCACUGUCAACGUCGGUGUUGAAUAAGGGACCGUCAAUAAAUUACCGGUUGAUGUUCUCAGAAAAGGCUGUUUUCCUUCAAUAGCUUCACUGUCAUGUGACCAAAAGACCUAAAAUUGAUUUCUAAUAAUAGUACUAAGGUCGAUCAAUAAGACAAACAUUAUUUGAU